GGGGCUGUAGCUCAAUGGUAGAGCGCCUACCCUGCAUGUGCAAGGUACUGGGUUUGAUCCUCAGCCCCA
This 69-nucleotide transfer RNA is filed under the name Ictidomys tridecemlineatus (thirteen-lined ground squirrel). RNAcentral describes it as "Spermophilus tridecemlineatus (thirteen-lined ground squirrel) tRNA". It matches the Rfam family "tRNA". Rfam says of the family: Transfer RNA (tRNA) molecules are approximately 80 nucleotides in length. Their secondary structure includes four short double-helical elements and three loops (D, anti-codon, and T loops). Lineage: Eukaryota; Metazoa; Chordata; Mammalia; Rodentia; Sciuridae. RNAcentral also lists the same sequence under 1 other name. The record is from Rfam by way of RNAcentral.